Molecule: transfer RNA, 74 nt
Filed under: Pteropus alecto (black flying fox)
Lineage: Eukaryota; Metazoa; Chordata; Mammalia; Chiroptera; Pteropodidae
Rfam family: tRNA
About the family: Transfer RNA (tRNA) molecules are approximately 80 nucleotides in length. Their secondary structure includes four short double-helical elements and three loops (D, anti-codon, and T loops). Further hydrogen bonds mediate the characteristic L-shaped molecular structure. tRNAs have two regions of fundamental functional importance: the anti-codon, which is responsible for specific mRNA codon recognition, and the 3' end, to which the tRNAs corresponding amino acid is attached (by aminoacyl-tRNA synthetases). tRNAs cope with the degeneracy of the genetic code in two manners: having more than one tRNA (with a specific anti-codon) for a particular amino acid; and 'wobble' base-pairing, i.e. permitting non-standard base-pairing at the 3rd anti-codon position.
Source: Rfam by way of RNAcentral
GGCUCCAUAGUAUAGUGGGUAGCACAUCUGCUUUACACACAUAAGGUUCUGGGUUUGGGCCCCAGGUGGAGCCA